UUGGAGGGCAAGUCUGGUGCCAGCAGCCGCGGUAAUUCCAGCUCCAAUAGCGUAUAUUAAAGUUGUUGCAGUUAAAAAGCUCGUAGUUGAAUUUCGGGGUCAGUAGAUUGGUCAUGCCACUGGUAUGUACUGGUCUCACUGAUUCCUCCUUCCUGAUGAGCCGUAAUGCCAUUAAUUUGGUGUUGCGAGGAAUCUGGACUGUUACUUUGAAAAAAUUAGAGUGUUUAAGGCAGGCUAACGCUUGAAUACAUUAGCAUGGAAUAAUGAAAUAGGACGUUCGAUCUUAUUUUGUUGGUUUCUAAGAUUGACGUAAUGAUUAAUAGGGAUAGUUGGGGGCAUUAGUAUUCAAUUGUCAGAGGUGAAAUUCUUGGAUUUAUUGAAGACUAACUACUGCGAAAGCAUUUGCCAAGGAUGUUUUCAUUAAUCAAGAACGAAAGUUAGGGGAUCGAAGACGAUCAGAUACCGUCGUAGUCUUAACCAUAAACUAUGCCGACUAGGGAUCGGAUGAUGUUAAUUUUUUAAUGACUCAUUCGGCGCCUUACGGGAAAC
This 549-nucleotide ribosomal RNA is filed under the name Funneliformis mosseae. Its description in RNAcentral is "SSU rRNA". It matches the Rfam family "Eukaryotic small subunit ribosomal RNA", at positions 548 to 1098 of the family's 1831-position model. The record is from RNAcentral. Lineage: Eukaryota; Fungi; Glomeromycota; Glomeromycetes; Glomerales; Glomeraceae.